GUUGAAACACCGGUCCUUGCAAGAUCUCAGAAGUUAAGCAAGAUUGAACUGGGUUAGUACCUAGAUAGGUGACUGCUUGGGAAUACCAGAUGUUGCAAGC
This is a non-coding RNA of Acanthosepion pharaonis, 100 nucleotides long. NCBI's taxonomy places the organism in Eukaryota, Metazoa, Mollusca, Cephalopoda, Sepiida, Sepiidae. The record is from the annotation of a GenBank genome assembly.